Molecule: long non-coding RNA, 466 nt
Filed under: Numida meleagris (helmeted guineafowl)
Lineage: Eukaryota; Metazoa; Chordata; Aves; Galliformes; Numididae
Description: lncRNA (ENSNMEG00000019169.1)
Source: RNAcentral
CACAAGCCUGCUCAGUGCACUCGCAGCAGUUACCUUCAGACUCUCAUUCCACGCCUCAGUAACUAAAUUUUUCAGUGUCACUUGUUGCCUCAUCCUCCUGUUCCCUUUGAAGCAGGAGGUGAGCACACACAAGCUUGGACAUAUAUUUCUCUGCCUUCUAUUGGAAGAGUAGGUGUUAUAUACGGACCAAAUGAGAGAAUCGGGACUGGAGGAGAGGAAAAGAAAAUGUGUAAGGCACAUCUCUGCAUUUCAUUAACAUUAAACUUCAAAGAAACAUCUGUGAAACUGUUGAUACAGUUGAUUGCACAUCAUCAUCUUCAUGUCAUGGUUAGAUCACUGUAUUUUGGGACUACAAGAGAAAUCUAACUGGAAUGGGAGAUUCUCCGAUUAAAUGGCCUUUUCCUUCUACCCUUCUUCUGAUCAUUUUUCAUGUUUUGAUGAGAAUAAAAUGCCACCCAGCUUUUCC